UCCGUAGGUGGAUCAAUCAGUCAGAGGUGAAAUCCUGCAGCUUAACUGUAGAACUGCCUUUGAUACUGUUGAUCUUGAGUCAUUAUGAAGUGGUUAGAAUGUGUAGUGUAGCGGUAAAAUGCAUAGAUAUUACACAGAAUACCGAUUGCGAAGGCAGAUCACUAAUAAUGUACUGACACUGAGGGACGAAAGCGUGGGGAGCGAACAGGAUUAGAUACCCUGGUAGUCC
This 229-nucleotide ribosomal RNA is filed under the name uncultured bacterium. RNAcentral describes it as "partial 16S ribosomal RNA". It matches the Rfam family "Bacterial small subunit ribosomal RNA", at positions 568 to 796 of the family's 1533-position model. The record is from RNAcentral.